AUACGGAGGAUCCGAGCGUUAUCCGGAUUUAUUGGGUUUAAAGGGAGCGUAGGCGGGAAGUCAAGUCAGCUGUGAAAUGUAGUCGCUCAACGUCUGCACUGCAGUUGAAACUGGUUUUCUUGAGUGCGUAAGGGGCAGGCGGAAUUCGUCGUGUAGCGGUGAAAUGCUUAGAUAUGACGAAGAACUCCGAUCGCGAAGGCAGCCUGCCGGGCCGCAACUGACGCUGAAGCUCGAAGGUGCGGGUAUCGAACAGGAUUAGAUACCCUGGUAGUCCGCACAGUAAACGAUGGAUACUCGCUGUCGGCGAUAAACGGUCGGUGGCCAAGCGAAAGCGUUAAGUAUCCCACCUGGGGAGUACGCCGGCAACGGUGAAACUCAAAGGAAUUGACGGGGG
Molecule: ribosomal RNA, 394 nt
Filed under: uncultured bacterium
Lineage: Bacteria
Description: partial 16S ribosomal RNA
Rfam family: Bacterial small subunit ribosomal RNA
Source: RNAcentral